GCCGCGGUAAUACGAAGGGUGCAAGCGUUGUUCGGAAUCAUUGGGCGUAAAGCGAGCGCAGGCGGCUCAGUAAGUCGGAUGUGAAAACUCGGGGCUCAACCCCGAGACGCCAUCCGAUACUGCUGUGGCUUGAGUCUGGUAGGGGAACACGGAAUUCCUGGUGUAGCGGUGAAAUGCGCAGAUAUCAGGAGGAACACCGAUGGCGAAGGCAGUGUUCUGGGCCAGUACUGACGCUGAGGAGCGAAAGCGUGGGUAGCAAACA
This 262-nucleotide ribosomal RNA is filed under the name uncultured bacterium. RNAcentral's name for it is "partial 16S ribosomal RNA". It matches the Rfam family "Bacterial small subunit ribosomal RNA", at positions 514 to 774 of the family's 1533-position model. The record is from RNAcentral.